AAGGUUGAUGAAGAGGAUGUCGUUUCACACACCCUCGCCGGGCUCGAUGAGGAGUUCGAACCGGUUGUGUCUGCUAUAUGUUCACGGGCCCGUGACUGCAUCGGAGCUGUACUUGCAGCACCUAAGCUUCGAGC
Triticum urartu is the source of this 134-nucleotide non-coding RNA. Lineage: Eukaryota; Viridiplantae; Streptophyta; Magnoliopsida; Poales; Poaceae. The record is from Rfam.